RNAcentral lists this long non-coding RNA (1506 nucleotides) under Triticum aestivum (bread wheat). Its description in RNAcentral is "long non-coding RNA (TAES_LNC022657)". Lineage: Eukaryota; Viridiplantae; Streptophyta; Magnoliopsida; Poales; Poaceae. The record is from RNAcentral.
UUGGUUUGGGUAUCAUUUCUUCUUCAGUGUUUCAUUCUUCUUCAGUAUUCAGUCCUCCAUUUUUUUCAUGAGUAUUCUUUUCUAUGUCUAUGGGAUAGAACGCAACAAGUAGUCAUACGAGACUAUCUUCGGUUUGAUUUACUUUGUUCAGUUUAUCCUUGUUACUGUUAAGUUUGCGGUGGUUCAGUUUCUACGGUUUAGCCUUUAACUUUAGUUAGUACAGUUCUCUCAGUCAUGUUUUAUCUGGUUCAGUUAUCAUUUAUUUCUUCAGUUAUUCAUUAUUCCUUAGUAUUACAUAUUUUCCCAUUCUUUGAGCUUACAUCAUUGUCUGAUCCCUCAGUCUCCACAGUUUUCUUUAGUACAAUUUUCAGUACUUAUCAUCUACUCCCUCCGUCUCAUUAUGGGUCGGAGGAGUACCAUUUUUCCAGUUUCUGUUUCUUCAAUCUCGUAAGUUUCUUCUUCAUUUUGUUUCUUCAUUAUAUACUUCUUCAAUCUACUUUUCAAGUCUCCCCUUGUGACUUUUCAUUCUAAUCCUUCUGUUUUGGGUCUCGGUAUUUUUUGUCCGUUUUCAUUGUCUUUCGGCAUUCUUCCCUUGUCAAUCCAUGCUGGUGUCGUAUGGACUUUGCGCAGAGAAACAAGUGAGCAACACAUCUGUUUUAUUUCGUCUAUAACAUCUUUUCCAUUUAUUUAGUUGAUUUUUUUGGUUCUCUUCUUUUGUUCGGAUGUUGAUUAGUGAUUACUCCCUCCGUAAAAAAAAAAGAGCAUUUAGAUCACUAUUUCUUUACAGAGGGAGUACCAUAUACUCCUUGCGUUUUAAAAUAGAUGACUCGACUUUGUACUAACUGUAGUAUAAAGUUCUUCUCAAAAAAAAACUGUAGUAUAAAGUUCGUACAAAGUCGAGUUAUCUAUUUUGGAACAGAGGUAGUAACUUAUAACCGGUUUUGUGUCUGCAGAAAAUCCGUAAGUACAUUGCUUUUGAGCUCAACACCCGAGGGUGGUUGCAUUGGCGAUGGGUGACGGGCACAACACCAAUUCAGGCAUAUGACACUACACCUGACGAGCGCGUCUAUUUUUUAAAGGCGGGAUGUGUUAUCGUUUUAAGGCUGACCUCAAGACAGGAAUAGCUUAUCAAUUGUUUUCGGUGCUCUUUAGUAUUCAUCUAAGCAUGAUGGUUGUACUGUCGAAUUCCAUGUCUUCAGUUUAGUCGGUUUGGGACAUCAAGUUAUUAGUUUAUAUCAUAAAGAAUCAGCUUGUAACGACGAAAAGGGCAGACCAAACCCAAAACCCUUUCGGGUCGAAAAGAUCCUUUAUUUUUUAGUUGUUUCGGAUUGAAAAGAUCCGUUAGUGUCUCCCCUCCGCUGGGCUAGUAGAGUGGUAAAUAUCGAACUAGAAGGAUUGGGUGCGCUUUGCUGCACCGUUGAUAUUGUUGGGUUUUCAUAAUUUUUUUACUUCAUCUAUUUUAAAAUAUCAUGUGUAUUAGUUUUUGAGAAAUCAAACCUCUUUAAG